RNAcentral lists this transfer RNA (77 nucleotides) under Myxococcales bacterium 68-20. RNAcentral's name for it is "tRNA-Pro". It matches the Rfam family "tRNA". Rfam says of the family: Transfer RNA (tRNA) molecules are approximately 80 nucleotides in length. Their secondary structure includes four short double-helical elements and three loops (D, anti-codon, and T loops). Lineage: Bacteria; Pseudomonadati; Myxococcota; Myxococcia; Myxococcales. RNAcentral also lists the same sequence under 5 other names. The record is from RNAcentral.
CGGGGAGUCGCACAGUCCGGUAGUGCACAAGCUUUGGGUGCUUGUCGUCGCGGGUUCAAAUCCCGCCUCCCCGACCA